This 294-nucleotide ribosomal RNA is filed under the name uncultured eukaryote. RNAcentral describes it as "partial 18S ribosomal RNA". It matches the Rfam family "Eukaryotic small subunit ribosomal RNA", at positions 1470 to 1796 of the family's 1831-position model. The record is from RNAcentral.
CCCUUUGAUACUCUGGGCGGUACGCGCGCUACACUGGUUUAUAUAACGUGUAAUUUGGACGAUAGUCUGUAUAAAUCACUAAUAUAAAACCGUGAAUGGGAUAGUUUAUUGCAACUUACAAACUUUGACUAGGAAUCCCUUGUAGAAGUAGUGAAUUAUACUGCUUCGAAUACGUCCCUGCCGAUUGUACACACCGCCCGUCGUUUCUUCCGACUGGUACUCAUUGUGAAUUGCGAGGAGAUUCUGUCAAAUCGUUGUAAAUGCUGGGUAUUGGAGGAAGAAAAAGUCGUAACA